UAGGGAAUCUUCGGCAAUGGGGGCAACCCUGACCGAGCAACGCCGCGUGAGUGAAGAAGGUUUUCGGAUCGUAAAGCUCUGUUGUAAGAGAAGAACGUGUGUGAGAGUGGAAAGUUCACACAGUGACGGUAACUUACCAGAAAGGGACGGCUAACUACGUGCCAGCAGCCGCGGUAAUACGUAGGUCCCGAGCGUUGUCCGGAUUUAUUGGGCGUAAAGCGAGCGCAGGCGGUUUAAUAAGUCUGAAGUUAAAGGCAGUGGCUUAACCAUUGUUCGCUUUGGAAACUGUUAAACUUGAGUGCAGAAGGGGAGAGUGGAAUUCAUGUGUAGCGGUGAAAUGCGUAGAUAUAUGGAGGAACACCGGUGGCGAAAGCGGCUCUCUGGUCUGUAACUGACGCUGAGGCUCGAAAGCGUGAGGAGCAAACAGG
This 428-nucleotide ribosomal RNA is filed under the name bacterium. RNAcentral describes it as "partial 16S ribosomal RNA". It matches the Rfam family "Bacterial small subunit ribosomal RNA", at positions 355 to 776 of the family's 1533-position model. The record is from RNAcentral.